Molecule: ribosomal RNA, 446 nt
Filed under: uncultured bacterium
Lineage: Bacteria
Description: bacterial SSU rRNA
Rfam family: Bacterial small subunit ribosomal RNA
Source: RNAcentral
ACCAGACUCCUACGGGAGGCAGCAGUGGGGGAUAUUGCACAAUGGGGGGAACCCUGAUGCAGCGACGCCGCGUGGGUGAAGGAGCGUUUCGGCGCGUAAAGCCCUCUCGGCAGGGAAGAAGGAGGACGGUACCUGACUAAGAAGCCCCGGCUAACUACGUGCCAGCAGCCGCGGUAAUACGUAGGGGGCAAGCGUUAUCCGGAUUUACUGGGUGUAAAGGGGGCGCAGACGGCAGCGCAAGCCAGGAGUGAAAGCCCGGGGCCCAACCCCGGGACUGCAUUGGGAACUACCGGGCUGGAGUGCCGGAGAGGUAGGCGGAAUUCCUAGUGUAGCGGUGAAAUGCGUAGAUAUUAGGAGGAACACCAGUGGCGAAGGCGGCCUACUGGACGGUGACUGACGCUGAGGCUCGAAAGCGUGGGGAGCAAACAGGAUUAGAUACCCCGGUA